GAUGAAGAACGUAGCGAAAUGCGAUAAGUAAUGUGAAUUGCAGAAUUCAGUGAAUCAUCGAAUCUUUGAACGCACAUUGCGCCCCCUGGUAUUCCGGGGGCAUGCCUGUUCGAGCGUCAUUUCACCACUCAAGCCUCGCUUGGUAUUGGGCAACGCGGUCCGCCGCGUGCCUCAAAUCGACCGGCUGGGUCUUCUGUCCCCUAAGCGUUGUGGAAACUAUUCGCUAAAGGGUGUUCGGGAGGCUACGCCGUAAAACAACCCCAUUUCUAAGGUUGACCUCGGAUCAGGUAGGGAUACCCGCUGAACUCAAGCAUAUCAAUAAGCGGAGGA
Molecule: unclassified non-coding RNA, 330 nt
Filed under: soil metagenome
Description: partial contains 5.8S ribosomal RNA, internal transcribed spacer 2, and large subunit ribosomal RNA
Rfam family: 5.8S ribosomal RNA (bases 1-119)
Source: RNAcentral